This is a long non-coding RNA of Heterocephalus glaber (naked mole-rat), 2019 nucleotides long. The record is from Ensembl. NCBI's taxonomy places the organism in Eukaryota, Metazoa, Chordata, Mammalia, Rodentia, Bathyergidae.
CAGGCGGGGUCCAGGCCUCUCUCUGACGAGCUCAUGGCCCCACACUGCCGCUGGAGGACGUCACGCUCUGGUCCGGCUGUCUUCAUAAUGAAGCCGGAGGUUGCCUUCUUCGGAAACUAGACCACACUGGCCCCCUGGACGUGGCGCUGGCCUCUUGCAGCGCAGGCCAGCGGGGAACCGGCUCCGCGUUGCGGACUUCGAUGCAGCAGGCUGUGCGGGAAGUGGGCACGCUCAGCGCACGGCUGUGUUUGCAAAGCACGGCCUCCCGCUCCGGGCCGUGCCCAGGUCCAGUGGGCUUUCCUCACUCGGGAGGGAGCUCUGGGCGCACGACGCUGGGCUUUGCGACAGCAGCUUUGCCAGCUUCCUGGUGAUCUCGGGGCGAAGCACUGAGCACGGACAUAAAACCCAGAGCUGUCAGCCCCUUCCUGCUUUGGCGACGGAGGCGGAGACUGUCAAGGGCGAAGCAACUCCUCAGGGCAAACCGCGGGGCCUGCACGCCCUCCCCACAGGCUGGGCUGUCUGUGCGUUCGUUCCUUCGUGCCAGCCACCUCCAGCAGCGCCGUCUGAGUCUGCCGGUCAGUGUUUUAUGGAUCCAGGCCAACAAAACCAAACCACAACAACAAGGCGGCUGCUCAGGAAGGGUCAGCCCCACUCACGCUUCCCAGUGGCGCGGAAUUUAGGAGGCAGCAGAGCAAACCCUUAUCAGAAAGCUGUGAAACCUUGCAAGACCCAGGGCGUGUAGUUCUGGUGACCCCUCUUGGAGAAAUUUCUAGAAUAUGACCGAGAAUCUCCAGAAUUUCUAGAAUAUGACCGAGACAAAAAGUGGAUCGAAAGCAUUGAAGUCAUUUAAGUAAAUUCAGGGAUCUGCUGGCAGACCUGGAAGGGCUAAGAGGUAUCUGGGCUCUGGAAGAAAUGGGCAGCUCGCUCUCUCAGGCCUUUUCUGCAAGUCCACGAGAGGCUCCUAUUUUCUAAUCACUGGCUCUUCCACAGGGGCAGCUGGAGAAGCAAACCCAGAGAUGUACCUUUGUCAAGAAGGCAUUAGCAGAUAGAUCUGUAUCCCUUGUUUUGAAUUUCCUGGUCGUGGGACUCCGGUUUCUUUAUGACCACAGCAGCCAUCCUGGGCUCCAAACUCACCUUCCACAGGCACAGCAGUGGAUGAGACCAGCAGGGUCCCCGCUUCCAUGGGCUUCUGGUCUAGAGGUGAAAGUGAGGGGUGGAGUCGCUGGAGAGACAUGAAGCAUCCACAAGCCCUGAGUCACCAGAGGGCAUCAGCUGUAAGUGAAACGUCAAGGACUGCUGCGGGGGCAGGGCCAUGGGUGGCCUCAUGGGGUGGCCUUCCUGUUCUGAUUCUGCCUCUGUCACAUGUGAGGCCCCGACUGCAGCGAAUUCCAGCCGGGGACCCGGGGCUCAGUUCAGUCUCACCUUGAAAGCCCUACAAGUACCUGGCUAGGACUCAGCCAGCCAGCAGCUCUGGGAACUCAGUCGCCGCUAUUGUUUCUGUCUGGGUUGCUGCUGUGUCUUCCAUUUCCUGGCCGGUGUGAUAAAGCCCACGCUGCCUUAGCAGGGCGAGGGAGAGAUUAAUGUGUUCAUCCACGUGUUAAAACCUGGGAUCUGGAGAAACGCUGUGAAGAAGGACUUUUAACAAUGAUGAUGAUAAGAAAACCGUCCGUCUGCAGUCAGUUGUUGGUGAAAAUCCUCCUGGAGACCAUUUGGAAGCCUUGAGGAAGGACUCUGUUCUUCCUUCCAUCAAGUAACAAUAAUUCUGCAGCUGUCUGAUGCAGAAUGCUACACGAGGCGUCCAUCUCAAUUGCUUCCUGUCUCCCAGUCCAAGCACCCAGCGGGCACCCCAUUCCCAGCUGACGCAAGCCAGCUUGGUUAGCAUUCCAGAGAGAACAAGCCAAGUAUAUCCUCCUGAAGACUGAAGGAAUUUCUUUGGGGGAAUAACUGAGGCCAAGCAGUUUAUUUUAUAGAUAAAAAUACCUGAGAGCAGAGAGACCAAGGGAUUCCUGAUAUUUGCAG